ACGAAAAUUCCAAAAAC
Molecule: small RNA, 17 nt
Filed under: Arabidopsis thaliana (thale cress)
Lineage: Eukaryota; Viridiplantae; Streptophyta; Magnoliopsida; Brassicales; Brassicaceae
Description: ATSL243010
Source: RNAcentral